Molecule: ribosomal RNA, 500 nt
Filed under: uncultured Glomeromycotina
Lineage: Eukaryota; Fungi; Glomeromycota
Description: partial small subunit ribosomal RNA
Rfam family: Eukaryotic small subunit ribosomal RNA
Source: RNAcentral
CCAAUAGCGUAUAUUAAAGUUGUUGCAGUUAAAAAGCUCGUAGUUGAAUUUCGGGGUUAGUAGGUUGGUCAUGCCUCUGGUAUGUACUGGUCUCACUGAUUCCUCCUUCCUGAUGAACCUUAAUGCCAUUAAUUUGGUGUUUUGGGGAAUUUGGACUGUUACUUUGAAAAAAUUAGAGUGUUUAAAGCAAGCUAACGCUUGAAUACAUUAGCAUGGAAUAAUGAAAUAGGACGUUCGAUCCUAUUUUGUUGGUUUCUAGGAUUGACGUAAUGAUUAAUAGGGAUAGUUGGGGGCAUUAGUAUUCAAUUGUCAGAGGUGAAAUUCUUGGAUUUAUUGAAGACUAACUACUGCGAAAGCAUUUGCCAAGGAUGUUUUCAUUAAUCAAGAACGAAAGUUAGGGGAUCGAAGACGAUCAGAUACCGUCGUAGUCUUAACCAUAAACUAUGCCGACUAGGAAUCAGACGAUGUUAAUUUUUUAAUGACUCGUUUGGCACCUUACG